This 459-nucleotide ribosomal RNA is filed under the name uncultured bacterium. RNAcentral's name for it is "partial 16S ribosomal RNA". It matches the Rfam family "Bacterial small subunit ribosomal RNA", at positions 338 to 795 of the family's 1533-position model. The record is from RNAcentral.
CCUACGGGAGGCAGCAGUGAGGAAUAUUGGUCAAUGGGCGAGAGCCUGAACCAGCCAAGCCGCGUGAAGGAUGACGGCUCUAUGGUUUGUAAACUUCUUUUAUAUGGGAGUAAACGGAGAAACGCGUUCCUUUCUGUAUGUACCAUACGAAUAAGCAUCGGCUAACUCCGUGCCAGCAGCCGCGGUAAUACGGAGGAUGCGAGCGUUAUCCGGAUUUAUUGGGUUAAAAGGGUGCGUAGGCGGGGGAUUAAGUUAGAGGUAAAAUCGUGGAGCUAAACUCCGGCAUGCCGUUGAUACUGAUGAGCUAGAGAGUAGGUGAAGUAUGCGGAAUGUAUGGUGUAGCGGUGAAAUGCUUAGAGAUCGCGCAGAACACCGAUUGCGAAGGCAGCGUACCAGCUUCACACUGACGCUGAGGCACGAAAGCGUGGGUAGCGAACAGGAUUAGAUACCCCAGUAGUC